UACGUAGGGUGCAAGCGUUAUCCGGAAUUAUUGGGCGUAAAGAGCUCGUAGGCGGUCUGUCGCGUCUGCUGUGAAAACUGGAGGCUCAACCUCCAGCCUGCAGUGGGUACGGGCAGACUAGAGUGCGGUAGGGGAGAUUGGAAUUCCUGGUGUAGCGGUGGAAUGCGCAGAUAUCAGGAGGAACACCGAUGGCGAAGGCGGUUCUCUGGGCCUUACCUGACGCUGAGGAGCGAAAGCGUGGGGAGCGAACAGG
Molecule: ribosomal RNA, 253 nt
Filed under: uncultured bacterium
Lineage: Bacteria
Description: partial 16S ribosomal RNA
Rfam family: Bacterial small subunit ribosomal RNA
Source: RNAcentral